Long non-coding RNA from Candoia aspera, 6681 nucleotides. RefSeq lists it as uncharacterized. The record is from RefSeq and is a predicted model, not a curated record. Lineage: Eukaryota; Metazoa; Chordata; Lepidosauria; Squamata; Candoiidae. The transcript has 4 exons.
GUGAAUAAACUGACUUCUCCUUAAGUGGUUUGAGGUUAAUAAAAAAUUGUGGAAAACACUUUCAUAAACUUUUCUUAAAGAUUAAAUAAUUAAUUGGAUAAAAGUGUUGGAAGAAGCUUAUAUGAACCUACCUGAGAACAGAGGGCUUAACAAGCAUUCAAACAGGCAUAUUUGACAGAGCUGACUUGAUAAUGGACUGCAAAUGAAUUUUAGAAUGACUUUGACACCGUGAAGCACUCAGGGAAAACUGAACUGCAGAUUUCCUUGGUAUGGAACAAAGAAUAGCCUUCAUCUCAGACCAAGCAAUUCAUCUGAGAUCAAGAAUAAAGAACCAGCAAAACAUAAAGUAUCAUGGAGUAAAUAGGAUGACGAAAUAUGUGUUUAUAAUCAAAGGUCUGAAUGAACUGCAUUCCAUCCUAUGGUCUUUAUAGGUGGCUAACAAUGUGUUAAAAGAAGAAACCAGCAGAACAAUAUGCAAUAUAUGUCACAGAAUCCACUAAAAAGAACACUUCUCAUUCAAAGCACACAGGUCAGGCUCACCUAACAUCCUGAUUCCAGGGCCUGGAGGGAAAAGUCAGGUUUUAAUGCCUUCCUAAAGCCUAAUGGGGGCAAGGCCAUAUGAAUCUCAGGGGGAAUGCCCACUUUGUCAAGGUACUGUGAGAUAAGCAAACACAGUUGGAAAUAAGCAGUUCCUCAGAUAACCUGGUCCUGGGCAAUGUAGGGCUUUAUAGGUGAUGUUCUGAAUAUGUGUAUAAUUUCCCUCCCAAAUAUGGGGGAUGGGAGAAUCUAAUUUGAAUUUUGUUUCUGAAGGAAAUUGUUGUCAUUGUUAUUACACCUUUGCAUUUCUUUCUGAUACUAGAAACAGUCUUUCUAGUCAGUGCAGUUUUAUGGGAGGAUGUAAAGUGAAAUGUAUUGUUUAAGGGCUGGGAGAAGGAGAAGGAGAAGAUGUUAAAAGGCUGAAUACUACCUCCUUUGGACAUCUCAGAACAUAUUAAGCUCCUGCUCAACCAUGAAAGUGUUGGCAUUAUUCUUCCUUUCUUCCACUCAAAAACAGAGCAAUAAAAAUGAAUAUGUCUCUGUAGGGAUAAGUAUUACAGUAAAAAUGGUAGGGAGAGUUUUCUACAGCAUUAUAUGAAGUAUAAAGAUCUCAAAAAGCUAAGCAGUAUCAGACAUGGUUGUUACUUGUAUGGUAGACCACCAGGAAAUUCCAAGGUUGUAAGCUAGACUGGAAAAUAAAAUAAAAUAUCCCAAAGCAAGGCAAUGGCAGACUGUUUCCAUAUUGUUGCCUCCUUCCCUCCAAACUAACUGAAACUGUCCAUAAAGAUGCAUGGAAAAAACAUGUAAUGGCUGCUUGUUCUGGUCAGUGUAUAUUGUCUCCAAUAUUAGAGGCAGUAUGCUGCUGAAUAUCACUUGCUGGGGAAAAUGCCUUGGAGGGAAGUAUUACAUUCAACCACUUAUGGAUUUUCCGUAAGUGUGAAAGCAGGUGGCCAUUGUUGUAACAGAAUGUUAGAUUAAGAUUUAAUAGAAUGUUAGAUUACUGUCUUCAGAAUAAAGAAAGCAGAGUUAGGUUGCCAUAUCACAAGCUCUUGCCUUUUUGGGUGCCAUGUGAUGUCAUACAAAAGGGUCAGGGCUUGUGCCACAAUGAUACAAUGCUAUUUUUGUCAGACUAAUUUUGUUUGACCCGCCCAACCUUGGGAAUGCUUCUGUUGCCCAAAACCACAAGUUGGGUUUUUAAAGAAGAUUACUUAGAUGACCUUGGGGUACAUCACGCUAAUACAGUUCCUGAUGGAUCUCGGUAGGAACAGUGACGAAAAGUGAUUGAUAUGGCAACUCCAGAAGAAAAUAAAUAGAUAGAUAGAUAGAUAGAUAGAUAGAUAGAUAGAUAGAUAGAUAGAUAGAUAAGCAAGCAAGCAAGCAAGCAAGCAAGCAAGCAAGCAAGCAUGCAAGCAAGCUCCAUUAGCCAUUUUCAGUAUAAAGCAUCAUAGCUGAAUUCUCUUGAGCCACAUCAUGCUGUUCCAUUUACUUUAAAAAUUUAGACUCAGCCUAUUGACCAGCAAAAUAAUAGCAGCUACAAUUAUUAGCCCAAAGGAAGAUGGUUUUCUCUCUGUAUAAUUACCUUUGUGGGAGAGGACCAAGUUCUAUUUGCAGGUAGAGGCAGAUGCUAUUUAAAGAAGCAGAUAUUGUUGAAAGAGAGAGGACAUUGCUCCCUCACUGUGGGUGAGAAGUCCAGGAAAAUGGGUGGACUGAAAGUCCGAAGCAAUUAUUUAUUGAUUUGAUUUAGGUGCUGCCUGACUCCCAAAUGAUUCUGGGUGGCUCAUGAUAUAACUAAAGAGAAUUAAAAAUCAAAUAACACAUGACAAGAUAAAUAAGCAAGGUGGAAAUCCAGCCACUCAGCAAAACAAACAAACAAACAUACAAAUAAAUAUACAAACUACAAAACAGAUCCCCACCCUAGCCCAUGGCCUGGGAGAACAGCCAGGUCUUUAAAUUCUUCAGGAACAUCAUCAAGGUGGGAGCCAUGUGGAUCUCAGGGAGGACCUUGUUCCAGAGUGCAGGUGUGGUGACAGAAAAGGGGCACUUUCUUUAAUAAUAGCCGCUUCACUUCCUCUCCUGGCUUAUAGCAGACACACACUGACAUGGAGAAAGUGUCCAUUCUAAUCCAUAAAGGGUAAAAGUACACCAGGCAAAUAAUUUGGAAUGAGCUAGUGAGGGAGGCCUGAGACUCAUGCCUGCUGCUGGCCCAAUGAAUUUUAAGAGAUUUUGCAGUUCCUAGACUUACCCUACCCUACCCUACAAUUCCUUUCACCUCAGCUCCAUUCAGUUUUAUUCCCCAUCUCUUUCUCCUUGUUCCCUUCCUACUGCAACUGCCUUUUCCACUUCCUUUAUCUCUGUUCCUUCCCUCCCUCCCUUCCUUCAACGUUGGAAAGAGAGAAAGGAAUGCAUGUGAGUGUGUGUGCAUUGGUGUGUGACAAAGCAGUUUUUGUGUACAUGUGGAUGGAAGGGUUCAUUAAUUUUAUACAUAUGUACUUUGUCUUUACAGGGACAGAACUUUAAUCAGAAGCAAUUAGUUCCAUUGAAGUUAUUUUAUCUACUUUGCCCAUCCUACCAUUUUUGGAGUGGUCCUUUUGGCCAAUGCAUAUAUACACCCAGACAUAUAUGUGUGUAACAGAAUAUGAGAAUAACUUUGGAAGAUGGGGGGAAGAGAAGCUGCCUAGGGAAUGAUCAGAUACAAGGGGGAGGAGCCUGCAACUGAGUAAUGGGCAGAGAAAGAAACUUAGAAAAGGAUCUGUCCUAAAAAGGGAGGGCAGGAGAUCUGUACUUUCAGACUUGCAAGAUUCUGUUAAUGAAGCCUAACAAUUAAUUAGAAGUAGCUCAUCUGGUCAUGUCUCCUGUCUGGUUUACCUGGGAAUGCUGACAAUGUGCACACAAAUGGAGGCUCAUGCCAGGAGUGGUUACAGUGCAAGUUGACAAGGAUGAGGAAGCUUUGUCACUGUAAUGGAUUUUGUUUCUAUUUAUAUAUUAAACCAUUUACUGGACCUCAUUUAGUGGAUUUUAGUUGCAACAGACUGAUUUUCCAUUUGGAGACUACUCACUUUUAACAGACAGAAGUUGCAUUCAAAGUCAUCCAGACACUUUUAUUUUUGUCAAUGUCCAUAAUUUGCAUCAUAAUAUAAUGACACAAAGUCAUUUGUGUCCUGAUGCAAACAAUAAAAUUGACAUGUGUAUUUUCAGAUUUAAUGGACACCCUCUAAACAUGAAUGGUCAGUUAAACUGAGAGUUUAUUGUAUAUAUUUUUGUACUGUCUACCUUUGGGAGGGAUUAUAUUAAAUUUGGAGUUCUCUUUAAUUCAGGUAAAAAGUGGGAUACAUCUAUUAUUUACUGAAACAAAUUCUAAAUCAGAACUGCCUUCUGGUUUUCAGAAAGUGAAGAUGGUAUUUUAAACACACAAGUAAGAACUGUAGUUGAUGCAUGAAUCUAUAAACCUCCCACCGCCACCCCUCCCAAUUUUAAUAAUGAACUCUCUCACUGCAAGGAGAGAAUGCGGCCUUGACAGAAACAUGCAUGUGGGGAGUUUAUUAAGUUACUGUAAAAUGUCAGUUGAGGAAGCUGAGAUGUCAUGUAAGUGACAACUGGCAGCAAAUCAGCCUAUUGAGUUAUACUGUAUAGGGGAUAGAGGAAAUGAUGUGCAAGAGAAUAAAGUGGUGAUCGUGGAAUGACAAAGCAGUAGAAUGUGAAUUCAUAACUGCUGGGAACACAAUAGAGUUCUGAAGCUCUAUAGGGUAAAUAGAAGCCAUGCAAACUUUUCUACAACCAUUCUACAUUAAUUGAACUUAAUUGGCAUGUUAACUCUGAAUCUAUGCAAAACAUCAGCUUCAGGGGAAAAAAAUAUGUUGUGUUGGGAAUCUUUAUGUUAAAAUGGUUAGGUCCUACAAGUUUGAAAACAACGCAUGCCAAAUUACUGGAGAAUCAGGUGCCAAAUGAUAAAUACUCCAGACAAGUAAAAAGAGAUGAAUAGAAUGCUGAGGCCAAUCUCUGAAGAUAAAAGUUUCCACCUACUCCCCAACCUUUUCAUUUGUUUAAAUGAUUCAUUCAUUCAAACUUUAACAACAUAUUCUGACAGCUAUUGUCAGUAUCUUGGGGUGAAUGAUACUUUAAUAUCUUCUCCAUAUGAUACUGUUCCUGGGAACAUAUUCCUGUGGAGAACAGUAAUAUGUGAACUAGAGUAUCCAUGGAUAUAGAUGCAAUGAUCAGAAUGAUUGCAAACUAUGCUAACAAAAUCACCAGAGAGGAAGCUGCAACAAUAUCUAUGGCUACAUUCCACCUUGUUCAUGUGAAUGCAAUUACUGUAAUCCAUCACAACUUUCUUCCUCAUUCCUGCCACCUUAUAUGGUGUGUCUCACUAGCCUGUCUCAAGAGCUGUCCACUAAAUCAAAGAGCAAGGGAUUCUGAAGAACAUAGGAGUUGUCCGACAAUGUACCAGAAGGUCACAGCAAGGGUAGAUAUUGCUUCAACAGUGGGUCAGCGCAUUGACUUCUGGUGGGACUAUGGCGGACUGAGCAGCUGUGCCCACAAGCUCCGCGGGCAAAAGUGGCAUCGUGGCAGUUUCUUUGGGCUCAGGCUGGUUUCUCCUGUAGCCCAGAGUGUUUUUCCGGAUUAAGGAAACACUUGGAAUUGACCCAUUUGUCCUCUGGAUGGCGAGUUACAGCCAAGAGAUCGUGGACAGCAUGUGUGAUUGACAGGCAAGGCUUUGCCAGGAGGCUGGGAUUUCAUCUUUUCCAAGCCACACUGAAGCCCUUAAAGAGACAUUAAGUCCAGCCACCCCAUUUCUAAAGCACCCAAUUUAUUUUUUUUUAAGCAUCUGUAUCCUAAGAGAGGUUUUCUACAUUAAGGAGAAAUUAUCUCUCUUGGUACUUAUUAUUAUUUUUGUGAUUAUUUUUUUUUAAUUUUUAAAGCUUUGGAUUUUGCUGUCCAUCCUAAGGAGGAUUGAGAGUAUGUUAUCAUCUCCCUAUUAUUAUUUCUGUGCUAAUUUGGAAGACUUUGGCAUUUUUCCUACACAUUGAAUCUGCCAUUCUGAACUUUUACUUUCCUUCUGCUACUUUCCCUGGGAACUGUCUGUUAUCUCAUCUUAACUCAGUUCAGAAAUUUUCCAUUGACUCUCAUUUUUGCCAGUUAAGUAUCUAAUGGGCGCCAUAACUUACUGCUUCAGAAGUGGAGGAUCUUAGCCAGGCUUUUGCUGACUGUCGCCGAGAUAUCAAAGCAGAAAUUAGGCAGACUCUUUCUGAUUCCUGCCAUGUUAUUCUGCCAGACAUUUGGAGCAUUGUGGAAAAUAUGUGGUCUGAAAUGUGCCAUCUGGUUGGGGAUGAUGUGGAUGAACCUGAAGAAUCUAACAGCAAUGGAAUUAUCUCUCCUAAGAGUUAGAUUUGGGCUUGUGUUGAGAUCCUGGAUGAAAUUGGCGACGCUGAACUGAGGAACUUAAAUGGAGAAAUUGAGCUGCAAGGCAUGAGUGCAUUUGGCUUUUUGAAGGAAUGUUAUGGAAAAGAAAUGGGUUAUUAUGUAUGGGAGGUUUUCUGGAGAGAAGUCUGUGUUUGUGAGGGGAGCAGUUGGGCUGUUUGAUUUAAGAAAAUAGCUCUGUGCAUAUUAUGGGGAUAUGUAAAUGUCUUGGUCUAUUUUGAAGUGGGUUAAGGGACUAAAAUAUUUAUUUGGAUGGUCUUAUGGUUUUGGACGACUUUACUUAUUGUUAAUGAUUGGGAUUAUGAUUAUUAAGGUUUUUUCUUAUUCAUGUUUUUGUAUUCAUGCUUUUUGUAUUAUUAAUUAUAAUAGUAGACAAUUUACAUGCUUUUUUAUUUUUUAUUUUUAUUAAGGUAGACAGGAAUGUAUAGAAUAGUAGUAGGAAGGGGAUAAUUGUUACUUUUGGGGGAAAGUUGAUCAGGUGAUUUAUAUUUUUUUCUUUUCUUUUAAUAUAAAGGAAGGGAGAAAUGGUACUUAGUGAUUUUCACAAUGUGCUAAGGGAUUGAUUUGUAGAAAUAAUGUUAUUUUGGUUUAAUAUAGAGUAAGGGAUUGAUUAUGGGAAAUUGCUGUAUAUCCUUGAUGUUUAAAGUCAGAAGUCACUUCUUUUUGUAAUCUAUCUAAAAAAUUUUCUCUUGUGUGUUCACACUUUUAGUUUUUUUCUUGUUGUGGUUU